GUUGGGUAGGGGAGCGUUCUGUAAGCCUGUGAAGGUGUGUCGUGAGGCAUGCUGGAGGUAUCAGAAGUGCGAAUGCUGACAUAAGUAACGAUAAAGCGGGUGAAAAGCCCGCUCGCCGGAAGACCAAGGGUUCCUGUCCAACGUUAAUCGGGGCAGGGUGAGUCGACCCCUAAGGCGAGGCCGAAAGGCGUAGUCGAUGGGAAACGGGUUAAUAUUCCCGUACUUGGUGUUACUGCGAAGGGGGGACGGAGAAGGCUAUGUUGGCCGGGCGACGGUUGUCCCGGUUUAAGCGUGUAGGUGUGUGUUCCAGGUAAAUCCGGUUCACUUUAACACUGAGGCGUGACGACGAGGCACUACGGUGCUGAAGCAACAAAUGCCCUGCUUCCAGGAAAAGCCUCUAAGCAUCAGGUAACAUCAAAUCGUACCCCAAACCGACACAGGUGGUCAGGUAGAGAAUACCAAGGCGCUUGAGAGAACUCGGGUGAAGGAACUAGGCAAAAUGGUGCCGUAACUUCGGGAGAAGGCACGCUGACACGUAGGUGAAGUGAUUUACUCAUGGAGCUGAAGUCAGUCGAAGAUACCAGCUGGCUGCAACUGUUUAUUAAAAACACAGCACUGUGCAAACACGAAAGUGGACGUAUACGGUGUGACGCCUGCCCGGUGCCGGAAGGUUAAUUGAUGGGGUCAGCGCAAGCGAAGCUCCUGAUCGAAGCCCCGGUAAACGGCGGCCGUAACUAUAACGGUCCUAAGGUAGCGAAAUUCCUUGUCGGGUAAGUUCCGACCUGCACGAAUGGCGUAAUGAUGGCCAGGCUGUCUCCACCCGAGACUCAGUGAAAUUGAACUCGCUGUGAAGAUGCAGUGUACCCGCGGCAAGACGGAAAGACCCCGUGAACCUUUACUAUAGCUUGACACUGAACAUUGAGCCUUGAUGUGUAGGAUAGGUGGGAGGCUUUGAAGUGUGGACGCCAGUCUGCAUGGAGCCGACCUUGAAAUACCACCCUUUAAUGUUUGAUGUUCUAACGUGGACCCGUGAUCCGGGUUGCGGACAGUGUCUGGUGGGUAGUUUGACUGGGGCGGUCUCCUCCUAAAGAGUAACGGAGGAGCACGAAGGUUGGCUAAUCCUGGUCGGACAUCAGGAGGUUAGUGCAAUGGCAUAAGCCAGCUUGACUGCGAGCGUGACGGCGCGAGCAGGUGCGAAAGCAGGUCAUAGUGAUCCGGUGGUUCUGAAUGGAAGGGCCAUCGCUCAACGGAUAAAAGGUACUCCGGGGAUAACAGGCUGAUACCGCCCAAGAGUUCAUAUCGACGGCGGUGUUUGGCACCUCGAUGUCGGCUCAUCACAUCCUGGGGCUGAAGUAGGUCCCAAGGGUAUGGCUGUUCGCCAUUUAAAGUGGUACGCGAGCUGGGUUUAGAACGUCGUGAGACAGUUCGGUCCCUAUCUGCCGUGGGCGCUGGAGAACUGAGGGGGGCUGCUCCUAGUACGAGAGGACCGGAGUGGACGCAUCACUGGUGUUCGGGUUGUCAUGCCAAUGGCACUGCCCGGUAGCUAAAUGCGGAAGAGAUAAGUGCUGAAAGCAUCUAAGCACGAAACUUGCCCCGAGAUGAGUUCUCCCUGAGACUUAGAGUCUCCUGAAGGAACGUUGAAGACGACGACGUUGAUAGGCCGGGUGUGUAAGCGCAGCGAUGCGUUGAGCUAACCGGUACUAAUGAACCGUGAGGCUUAACCUU
This 1725-nucleotide ribosomal RNA is filed under the name Salmonella enterica. RNAcentral describes it as "bacterial LSU rRNA". It matches the Rfam family "Bacterial large subunit ribosomal RNA", at positions 1223 to 2925 of the family's 2925-position model. The record is from RNAcentral. Lineage: Bacteria; Pseudomonadati; Pseudomonadota; Gammaproteobacteria; Enterobacterales; Enterobacteriaceae. RNAcentral also lists the same sequence under 1 other name.